Non-coding RNA from Pelobates cultripes (western spadefoot toad), 313 nucleotides. The record is from the annotation of a GenBank genome assembly. NCBI's taxonomy places the organism in Eukaryota, Metazoa, Chordata, Amphibia, Anura, Pelobatidae.
CUGGAGAUUUAAUCGUUUGUAUCCCUCCAGUGGCGAGAGAACCAGUCUGCUACCAGAUUGUCCUGACCUGGUAGGUAUUCCGCCCGAAGUGUGAUGUUUCUGUAUAGACAAAAUUGGUAGAGUUCUUUAGUCAAAUCUGAAAGGAGUUUGGAGCAGGAGCCUCCCAAACGAUUUACAUAGUGGACAGCAGACACAUUGUCCAUCCAUAGAGUCAAGGAGCAAUUGUAGGCGUCCUUCGCAAAGCAGCAUACUGCGAAGGAGCUGGCAAUCCAUUUGAGGCAAUUUAUAUGGAGAGUUUGUUCCGAGCGUGUCC